RNAcentral lists this long non-coding RNA (1028 nucleotides) under Pogona vitticeps (central bearded dragon). RNAcentral describes it as "lncRNA (ENSPVIG00000017271.1)". Lineage: Eukaryota; Metazoa; Chordata; Lepidosauria; Squamata; Agamidae. The record is from RNAcentral.
AUGUCACGGGAUCCCAUGAAGGACAGAGUCCUCCUGGCCAAGGCACAAACUGAAAUCCUGCCGGGGCCGUCUCUCAAAAUGAAACUCCAAGGUCCCCAGAAGCCAGAGGAUAUCAGGAGAGGACCGGCUUUCUUGAGCAACACAAAUGGAGACAGACCAAAACCCCAGAUGGAACGCCUCGUCCAUCAGCUCCAACCUCAACCCCAACCCAAACGGGAGGUUCAGGUCAAAAUCCUGGCCCGACCCAGUAUUCCUGAGGGGGUCAGUUGGUGGCAGAUAUUUGCUCUUGCACUGAUGACAGCAGCACUGAUCCUGUUCUUCACGCUGAUGGGUUUAAUUUAUGUUUACAUGAUGAAGGCAGAGAGGAUGAACACCUCAAUUCGACGUCUGCAACGCAUGGAGAUGCAGCUGAAGGUGGCUGUAAGGCAGCAGGCAGGAAACUCAGUCUUGACUUGUAAACCCUGCAAAGACAAUUGGUUGCAGUGGGGAGACAACUGUUACCUGGGCACUCAUGAGCCGAUGACCUGGAAUGAGUGCAUAGACCAUUGUGAGAUCUAUGGAGCCAGCUUUCUGAUCGGGGGAACGUCAGGAGAAAUGGAAUUCCUGAUUUUGCAGGCUCGUAAGUGGCUUGCCAGCAAGAGCACGCGGAGCAUAAUCCAAGGUUACUGGGUUGGUUUGAUGUACAACGGGACUGAGAAAAUCUGGAGCUGGGCCAACGGAGCACAUCUCCACCUCAAUCUGCGCGAAAUCGAAACACGGCCUCCUUCCUUUUUGCACGCGUGUGUCUUAUUUACUCACCCUGAUGAUGUCAUUACUAAGCACUGCUCCUCCUUGAACUAUUGCUUGUGCAAGAGAAGCACCUAAUGAGCCAAGCAAUGCUGUGUCAAGAUGCCACUCAAGAUUCUUGUAAUUCCCACACACACACACACACCCUGCGAACAUCCCCUCUUCCACUCACAUGAUGGCCCCUUUUGCCUCCGUGGCCAUCUCUGCAAACACAUAAUAAAAUGAUGCUUCUUCUUUUAUCA